AAGAGUAACAAACAAACCUAAAAUAUAACAUGACAUCAAUGCGUUAUUAAAAUAAGUUUAGAAAAUGCUCUAAUACCUAAGUUUCUGAUAAGGUAGGUACAUUUGUCAUGAUUGUUGCCACUGUGUGUUUAAUUGAAUGGAUUAAUUAAUAUUUUUAUUGAAUUAAUUUCCCUGUCUUCUCGAAAAAGUUAAAUGAAUAAACGAGGCUGACUCAUUGCCUAAUGCUCACAGCAUAAGUCAUGUAUCAAUACAAUUAAACCAGAAUUAUUUGCACUGGGAGUACAUUAUAAUUACAAAGUACCUAUAGGUGUACGCAUCGACAUAGCUUGACAACUCUAAAGUUAGCUAUAUGACUAUGUACUUAAUAUUUUAUUAAUAACACUAUUUACUGCGCCGCAAAGCUUACAUAACAUUGCACGACCUGGUAUAUAAAUAUAUGGAUUACCUAACUGCAAUAACUAAUUUCCUCUUACCCGUCGACCAUACACGUAUUCAUUAUGAAGCUACUGCUAAUUACAAUUAUUUUCGUAUCAAUAUUAGCCACAAUAUGGUCGGCAAAAGUACCGCGAGUGAAACAAUUGAUAGAUCAAAAGCCACAUUUGAGGUUCAAAAGGCAGUGGUUUGUUGGAAAAAUGAAAUGUCGGUGCCCAGAAAACAUGCUUUUUCUAAGAACGCAGUGCAUAACUUGUGAACAAUACAAAAAGGCUACGGAGGCAGACUCGUGCCCGAUUUGCGAAUAAAAACAUUAUGACGAAGAAGGAAAAUACUAUAUUUUGCGUUAUGGCAAAUGCUCAUUAUUUGCAUAACAUAGAAUUUAUUUAUGCGCGUUUAUAAGCCCAAAAACUAAAAAUUUGUAGCUCUCAGUCAUCUCAUUUUUAGGAUGAUGAUUUGAUGAAUGCUGUUGUAAUAAAAACCAUAUUUCAAUAAAGCUAUAUUUUUCGUUUA
Molecule: long non-coding RNA, 945 nt
Organism: Helicoverpa zea (corn earworm)
Lineage: Eukaryota; Metazoa; Arthropoda; Insecta; Lepidoptera; Noctuidae
Exons: 2
Source: RefSeq, a predicted model, not a curated record